This is a non-coding RNA of Pelobates cultripes (western spadefoot toad), 219 nucleotides long. NCBI's taxonomy places the organism in Eukaryota, Metazoa, Chordata, Amphibia, Anura, Pelobatidae. The record is from the annotation of a GenBank genome assembly.
AUACGCAUACAAAGGAUUAAAGUGGCGAUUCUGCCACACCGCGGGUUACCACGACAAUGCUCUGACUGGGUCUUGCGAGAUUCAUGGUCUGCAGCUAUGCGGAGCUGCAGACCGGAAAUUAUAGCCACCGGACCACCAGGGAGCCCACACUGGACCACCAGGGAAUUAAGGUCUUUAGUCCCUCCUCAUCACCCACCUUCCUCACACCAUCACCUGCUG